AUGCCUCUAACUGGAACGUACCUUGAGCAUAUAUGCUGUGACCCGAAAGAUGGUGAACUAUACUUGAUCAGGUUGAAGUCAGGGGAAACCCUGAUGGAAGACCGAAACAGUUCUGACGUGCAAAUCGAUUGUCAGAAUUGAGUAUAGGGGCGAAAGACCAAUCGAACCAUCUAGUAGCUGGUUCCUUCCGAAGUUUCCCUCAGGAUAGCUGGUGCAUUUUAAUAUUAUAUAAAAUAAUCUUAUCUGGUAAAGCGAAUGAUUAGAGGCCUUAGGGUCGAAACGAUCUUAACCUAUUCUCAAACUUUAAAUGGGUAAGAACCUUAACUUUCUUGAUAUGAAGUUCAAGGUUAUGAUAUAAUGUGCCCAGUGGGCCACUUUUGGUAAGCAGAACUGGCGCUGUGGGAUGAACCAAACGUAAUGUUACGGUGCCCAAAUUAACAACUCAUGCAGAUACCAUGAAAGGCGUUGGUUGCUUAAAACAGCAGGACGGUGAUCAUGGAAGUCGAAAUCCGCUAAGGAGUGUGUAACAACUCACCUGCCGAAGCAACUAGCCCUUAAAAUGGAUGGCGCUUAAGUUGUAUACCUAUACAUUACCGCUAAAGUAGAUGAUUUAUAUUACUUGUGAUAUAAAUUUUGAAACUUUAGUGAGUAGGAAGGUACAAUGGUAUGCGUAGAAGUGUUUGGCGUAAGCCUGCAUGGAGCUGCCAUUGGUACAGAUCUUGGUGGUAGUAGCAAAUAAUCGAAUGAGACCUUGGAGGACUGAAGUGGAGAAGGGUUUCGUGUGAACAGUGGUUGAUCACGAGUUAGUCGGUCCUAAGUUCAAGGCGAAAGCCGAAAAUUUUCAAGUAAAACAAAAAUGCCUAACUAUAUAAACAAAGCGAAUUAUAAUACACUUGAAUAAUUUUGAACGAAAGGGAAUACGGUUCCAAUUCCGUAACCUGUUGAGUAUCCGUUUGUUAUUAAAUAUGGGCCUCGUGCUCAUCCUGGCAACAGGAACGACCAUAAAGAAGCCGUCGAGAGAUAUCGGAAGAGUUUUCUUUUCUGUUUUAUAGCCGUACUACCAUGGAAGUCUUUCGCAGAGAGAUAUGGUAGAUGGGCUAGAAGAGCAUGACAUAUACUGUUGUGUCGAUAUUUUCUCCUCGGACCUUGAAAAUUUAUGGUGGGGACACGCAAACUUCUCAACAGGCCGUACCAAUAUCCGCAGCUGGUCUCCAAGGUGAAGAGUCUCUAGUCGAUAGAAUAAUGUAGGUAAGGGAAGUCGGCAAAUUAGAUCCGUAACUUCGGGAUAAGGAUUGGCUCUGAAGAUUGAGAUAGUCGGGCUUGAUUGGGAAACAAUAACAUGGUUUAUGUGCUCGUUCUGGGUAAAUAGAGUUUCUAGCAUUUAUGUUAGUUACUUGUUCCCCGGAUAGUUUAGUUACGUAGCCAAUUGUGGAACUUUCUUGCUAAAAUUUUUAAGAAUACUAUUUGGGUUAAACCAAUUAGUUCUUAUUAAUUAUAACGAUUAUCAAUUAACAAUCAAUUCAGAACUGGCACGGACUUGGGGAAUCCGACUGUCUAAUUAAAACAAAGCAUUGUGAUGGCCCUAGCGGGUGUUGACACAAUGUGAUUUCUGCCCAGUGCUCUGAAUGUCAAAGUGAAGAAAUUCAAGUAAGCGCGGGUCAACGGCGGGAGUAACUAUGACUGUCUUAAGGGGAGUCAUGGGGUAUUUGAGAGCAGAGGGGGAGUAUUCUUCUGUAAUUCGUAAGUCAUAUCAUAUGAUGUGCGGAAGGGGAAUUUUACUCUGUAACUCACAAGUCUCUCCUUUACUCAAGUCGACUCAAAACCUCCUCGUGGUGGUCCCCGGUAAUGCUAAACUUGUUUAGCAGCUAAUUUGAGCGGCAAAACUUUUCCGAUGGGCUGGUUCCCCAGAGGAAAUUUAUUCAUAUUGAAACUACAAGCACAAAUAACGAGCCUCGGAUAACUUUACACAAUCUGAUGACGACCCGACCCUCCGUGGAUAUCUUCCCGGAGGACCAAUAUGAACCAAACGCAGCGGUUACUCUAUCUAGGGUUCCCUGCACAGUAUAUGACCGGUCCUUUAACAGCAAGAGAGGACUCGGUGUUCACAUGCGAUCUCGGCACCCAGACGAACUUGAUGAAGAACGUCGACGUGUCGAUAUAAAGGCAAGAUGGAGUGACGAAGAGAAGUGGAUGAUGGCGAGAAAGGAGGUUGAGCUCACAGCAAAUGGAUGUAAACACAUAAACAACUAGCGGUGUAUUUUGCAAACCGCAGCGUCGAAGCCAUCAAAAAGCUAAGACAGAGGGGCGAUUAU
RNAcentral lists this ribosomal RNA (2312 nucleotides) under Drosophila melanogaster (fruit fly). RNAcentral describes it as "eukaryotic LSU rRNA". The stretch from base 1 to 1844 matches the Rfam family "Eukaryotic large subunit ribosomal RNA", at positions 774 to 3401 of the family's 3401-position model. Lineage: Eukaryota; Metazoa; Arthropoda; Insecta; Diptera; Drosophilidae. The record is from RNAcentral.